GGGCCCGCACAAGCGGUGGAGCAUGUGGUUUAAUUCGAUGAUACGCGAGGAACCUUACCAGGGCUUAAAUGUAAGUUGCAUAGAUCAGAGAUGGUCUUUUCUUCGGACUACUUACAAGGUGCUGCAUGGUUGUCGUCAGCUCGUGCCGUGAGGUGUCAGGUUAAGUCCUAUAACGAGCGCAACCCCUGUCGUUAGUUACCAGCAAGUAAUGUUGGGUACUCUAGCGAGACUGCCGGUGCAAACCGUGAGGAAGGUGGGGAUGACGUCAAAUCAUCACGGCCCUUACGUCCUGGGCUACACACGUGCUACAAUGGCGCAUACAGAGGGCAGCAAGCUAGCGAUAGUGAGCGAAUCCCAAAAAGUGCGUCGUAGUCCGGAUUAGAGUCUGCAACUCGACUCCAUGAAGUCGGAAUCGCUAGUAAUCG
RNAcentral lists this ribosomal RNA (425 nucleotides) under uncultured bacterium. Its description in RNAcentral is "bacterial SSU rRNA". It matches the Rfam family "Bacterial small subunit ribosomal RNA", at positions 917 to 1344 of the family's 1533-position model. The record is from RNAcentral.